CAGGCCUAACACAUGCAAGUCGAACGGAAACGAUACUAGCUUGCUAGUAGGCGUCGAGUGGCGGACGGGUGAGUAACGCGUAGGAAUCUGCCUGAUAGUGGGGGAUAGCCCGAAGAAAUUCGGAUUAAUACCGCAUAAUCUAUUCGUAGUAAAGUGGGGGACUUUCGAGCCUCACGCUAUCAGAUGAGCCUGCGUAAGAUUAGCUUGUUGGUAGGGUAAAAGCCUACCAAGGCGACGAUCUUUAGCUGGUCUGAGAGGAUGAUCAGCCACAUCGGGACUGAGACACGGCCCGAACUCCUACGGGAGGCAGCAGUGGGGAAUAUUGGACAAUGGGGGCAACCCUGAUCCAGCAAUACCGCGUGUGUGAAGAAGGCCUGAGGGUUGUAAAGCACUUUCAAUUGUGAAGAAAAGUUAGCGGUUAAUAACCGUUAGCCUUGACGUUAACUUUAGAAGAAGCACCGGCUAACUCCGUGCCAGCAGCCGCGGUAAUACGGAGGGUGCAAGCGUUAAUCGGAAUUACUGGGCGUAAAGCGUGCGUAGGCGGUUUAUUAAGUCAGAUGUGAAAGCCCGGGGCUUAACCUGGGAACUGCAUUUGAAACUGGUCAACUAGAGUAUGGUAGAGGAAAGUGGAAUUUCUGGUGUAGCGGUGAAAUGCGUAGAUAUCAGAAGGAACAUCAAUGGCGAAGGCAGCUUUCUGGACCAAUACUGACGCUGAGGUACGAAAGCGUGGGUAGCAAACAGGAUUAGAUACCCUGGUAGUCCACCGCCCGUAAAACGAUGAUAAAUAGUCCGUUGGUGGAGGAAAAACCCAUGAGUAACGAAGCUAACGCGUGAAGUAAACCGCCUGGGGAGUACGGCCGCAAAAUUAAAACUCAAAGGAAUUGACGGGGACCCGCACAAGCGGUGGAGCAUGUGGAUUAAUUCGAUGCAACGCGAAAAACCUUUACCUG
Molecule: ribosomal RNA, 950 nt
Filed under: uncultured Gammaproteobacteria bacterium
Lineage: Bacteria; Pseudomonadati; Pseudomonadota; Gammaproteobacteria
Description: bacterial SSU rRNA
Rfam family: Bacterial small subunit ribosomal RNA
Source: RNAcentral